RNAcentral lists this long non-coding RNA (229 nucleotides) under Bos taurus (domestic cattle). Its description in RNAcentral is "long non-coding RNA NONBTAT019585". The record is from RNAcentral. Lineage: Eukaryota; Metazoa; Chordata; Mammalia; Artiodactyla; Bovidae.
GUUUAAAAUAUAAUGUUUAUGUUAAUUAUGGCUCUUUAGAAAACUUUCAUUUCUCUAAGCAAAAAAUAUAAAUAAAAGUAUUCUUGGUCUGAUGUAUUUCUUGAUGACUUUAAACCAUUUAAGACUCAGUUCUCAUAUUACUUUUAUCUAAUCCUCAAAAUAUGAAAUAAUGACUCAGGGUUAAUACCUCUUUGAUCAUUUUAAGAUAAAGAGCUUAAUUUUAAUGACU